CUUGCUUUGGCAACACAUACUAAAAUUGCAACAAUACAGAGAAGAUUAGCAUGGCCCUGCACAAAGAUGACACGCAAAUUCGUGAAGUGUUCCAUAUUUUU
This 101-nucleotide small nuclear RNA is filed under the name Prolemur simus (greater bamboo lemur). The record is from RNAcentral. Lineage: Eukaryota; Metazoa; Chordata; Mammalia; Primates; Lemuridae.